UACGGAGGGGGCAAGCGUUAUUCGGAAUUAUUGGGCGUAAAGGGCGCGUAGGCGGCUAGAUGUGUCAAAGGUGAAAUCCCUCGGCUCAACUGAGGAACUGCCUUUGAAACUGUCUGGCUUGAGGCCGGGAGAGGGAAGCGGAAUUCCGGGUGUAGCGGUGAAAUGCGUAGAUAUCCGGAGGAACACCGGUGGCGAAGGCGGCUUCCUGGACCGACACUGACGCUGAGGCGCGAAAGCUAGGGGAGCAAACGGG
This 253-nucleotide ribosomal RNA is filed under the name uncultured bacterium. Its description in RNAcentral is "partial 16S ribosomal RNA". It matches the Rfam family "Bacterial small subunit ribosomal RNA", at positions 524 to 776 of the family's 1533-position model. The record is from RNAcentral.